CUGCUGCCUCCCGUAGGAGUUUGGGCCGUGUCUCAGUCCCAAUGUGGCCGUCCACCCUCUCAGGCCGGCUACUGAUCGCUGCCUUGGUGGGCCGUUACCCCGCCAACUAGCUAAUCAGACGCGGAUCCAUCGUAUACCACCGGAGUUUUUCACACUGCCCCGUGCGGAGCCGUGCGCUUAUGCGGUAUUAGCACCUAUUUCUAAGUGUUAUCCCCCGGUAUACGGCAGGUUAUCCACGCGUUACUCACCCGUCCGCCACUAA
RNAcentral lists this ribosomal RNA (262 nucleotides) under uncultured bacterium. Its description in RNAcentral is "partial 16S ribosomal RNA". The record is from RNAcentral.